This 439-nucleotide ribosomal RNA is filed under the name uncultured bacterium. RNAcentral's name for it is "partial 16S ribosomal RNA". It matches the Rfam family "Bacterial small subunit ribosomal RNA", at positions 338 to 795 of the family's 1533-position model. The record is from RNAcentral.
CCUACGGGGGGCAGCAGUGGGGGAUAUUGCACAAUGGGGGGAACCCUGAUGCAGCGACGCCGCGUGGGCGAUGGAGUGCUUCGGCAUGUAAAGCCCUAUCAGCAGGGAAGAAAAUGACGGUACCUGACUAAGAAGCCCCGGCUAAAGACGUGCCAGCAGCCGCGGUAAUACGUAUGGGGCAAGCGUUAUCCGGAUUUAUUGGGUUUAAAGGUUGCGUAGGCGGAAUAUCAAGUCAGCGGUAAAAAUUCGGGGCUCAACCCCGUCGUGCCGUUGGAACUGAUGUUCGUGAGUGGGCGAGAAGUAUGCGGAAUGCGUGGUGUAGCGGUGAAAUGCAUAGAUAUCACGCAGAACUCCGAUUGCGAAGGCAGCAUACCGGCGCCCAACUGACGCUGAAGCACGAAAGCGUGGGUAUCGAACAGGAUUAGAUACCCCAGUAGUC